Long non-coding RNA from Pezoporus occidentalis (night parrot), 464 nucleotides. RefSeq lists it as uncharacterized. The record is from RefSeq and is a predicted model, not a curated record. The transcript is spliced from 3 exons. Lineage: Eukaryota; Metazoa; Chordata; Aves; Psittaciformes; Psittacidae.
UGUGGUGUGAUACUGGAUAUAGGGGUUUAUUCCCCUUAGUUCUGUCUGAGUAUGUUAGUGAAAUAGAAAGCUGGUUUCAGGUGGAAGGAAAAACGCAUAUCUGAUGUUUUCUUUCAGAUGUUCCUAAGCUCCAGCACAUCUCCUGAGAUUCACAGUUAUUUGCAUGCAAAGGAGCAGGGGGAAAAAUCCCGGACAGAACUGUACUUUCUUUUGAGAAGAUCUGGCCUUUAUUUUUCCACUAAAGGUACAUCUGAGGAGCCAAGGCAUCUGCAGUUUUUCUGUGAAUUCAGCCUUAGUGAUACGUACAUGUCUUUGACAGGCAAAAAGAUUUCUGGAGCACCAACAAACCAUGGAUUCUGCUUUAAGGUAUUGUGUUCAAGGUAUGCAUUAAUGCUAAAAAAAUGUGCUGUGGCCGACUAGCCUAACAAAUCAGGAGGAAACCGAGACCUGAAACAGCUCUGUGC